CAGUCUUCUAUAUUAACUGCUCUGCCGCUGCGCGAGCUCGCUACAGACGCUUAAUAGUCUUUUUUUAAAAAAAAUAUAAAUUAUACACAUCUCGUAUUUCUCUUUAUAUUAUUUUGUUCCGAGACCCCAUUAUAUUCUUAACCUUUAGGAAAAAUGGCUGACACAAAAGUCGAUACCAGCUCGGAAGUCUCCGCCAAGGUAAUGCAACUUAACUACAGUUAACGUUAUACACUGAUUUGUAGAGAUGCUGCGUUUUAUUAAUUUGAAUAAACGAACUAUAUGAAAUAUGGAAUUUGGCAUGGAAAUAGGCAUACAGCAUUACCGGAACACUGUUUGCACAUUUCGUCGGUGUUUUGACCUCUCACUGUCACUUUGAAGACUUUUCGUGGAUGGUAAAUGUUAGGUGUGCUGAAGCUGGACUUCUUUUCAGAGAUAUUUGCAACUAAAAAGCUUUUUUUUUUCGGAUUCUACGCGGGUCCUUUGUUUAUGCAAGCGGUUUUUCGGUUCCUCUUUAAAAAGUAUAGUGAGAGAGAUGGACGCAGAUGAUCGUAAGCAUCUCUGCUCCGCGUAUAUGGUUUGUUGCACGAGUUUCUUCUUAUGGCUCGAUUAUUGAAGGUGCCUCGCUCAGUCCGCGAGACGCGCUGGAUCGUCAGCCCGAUCUGUCACAAGUUACUGCAGCCCUCACGAUUCACGAUGCCACUCGGAAUGUCCCCGGUCUGUGAAAUAUGGCUACUGCAUCUUUGACCGAUAUUUCAAGUGUAAUGAAAACGGAAUUUAAUCUUAGUAAUAGGUUGUAAACAUUAGAGCCAACCUACCUCGGAUUUACGGUUUAACAGGAGCGUUAGGUCGCGCUGCCUUUUAAGUUCUGUGAAGUUCAGGUUACACUUCACUUUUUCUUAGUGAAAAUGAGAGUUCACCAUACAUUAUUGAUUAAACUACUUAGGAUAUGAGCUUUAUUGGGCUACAGUCCGGCUUUGUCAGGGUGGCUGAUAAUUUCUUGAAAGAAAAUAGGUCUCUUUUCUUCUUCCACUUUGCAUGAGCGGGUAUCGAGAUAUGGAAUUAUUUCUAUCGGCGAUGUCUGUGCGUGAACUUAUCCCGCGAAACCCCGCUGCGGAUGCAGCAGUCUGGCUGACUGAAUGAGUUCCUAUUGUAGCGCGCGGUCUGCUCCGGAGCUGAGCGCGAGCACCGAAGUUAAGGGAGCUCCGUGCAGGAUGCCUUCUCGCGUCCAGCUGUUGUAUUUUGUAUUAUUUACAUAGAUAAACCUAUUCUAGACCGACGUCUUUGAGCGUUGUGACGCGUCUCGCAGUUAUUCUAUCGUUUCGUGCAUGCGCGCCGCGUUUUUAAGACGCAGCGGCUCCGUUUAACUUUUAAAAACGCAUCUCGAGAGCCCUAGUUACGUCCCGUUCCAUUCCGUUGCGCUCCGUCUAGCUGCUUGUGAGCGCAAGAGCGCGUACUGUGUGAACGGCCCCGUACAGUCUAUCAAUGUAAGCGAUCGUUUUCCACCGGACUUAUCAAGCGUGUGGUGCUCACACAAAGAUCACAGGACUCGUCUACCAGUUGUGGGCACAACAUUUCUGACCCGUGUCUUUUUUUUUCUCUUUGUUAAGCUUUUUUUAUUAUUAUUAUUAUGAUUAUUUUUGCAGCGUCCCAGUCUUGAUAAGCUUAACGUUACGUCUCUUAAGUUUGUCUAUGAAAUGCGGAGAUGAUUUCCGCUUCAGGCUAAAAGGUUGCCUACGCUGUUUGUUUGAUCAGUAUAUGGGUCCGUAUCAUCCUGUAUGUAGUGGCAUAUGUUCAUUAUUCAUCUGUGGCUCACUGACGCUCAGUGGUGGUUACAUGUAAUUGUGACGGUGCGAGAAGGCGUUGCAGGCGUGAUGUAGACGCUAACCGGCUUAAAAGCUGAGGAUUAUGACCUACAUUUAUUAAUACGAGCAAGCUGCUGAAUGGAAGCACAUCCUGCGGUACUCAGAGCGAGGAAAGUCUGCGUUUUCAAAUCUUGAAGAUGCAGCGUGUUGCAUAAUUUGAUUUCGCUUAAGAAUAAUGGUCAUCCUCGAGGGAACAGCAAUAUAGUGCUUGAAAAAACAAAUUGUUAAAGGCCCAAUAGUACAACGCUAUUGUUCCCCACUUCUGUCUCUUUCUCUUUCUCUCACUCCCUCUCUUUCUCCGAGGUUUGUCGGUCCUGCCUCUCUUUGGUCGAGUUCGCGCUCUUAUUGGCUGAGUUAAAAUAUUCACUAAUUGUGAUCUGGGAGUUGUAGUUUUUUAGCGGGCGUGUCUUUAUCAAGCGCAGUGAUGUGGAUUAUAAACUGAACUACAGCGCGCAUUGGUGCUAACGCCGUCGACGUAUCAAAUUACAACACCUCAGUAUGGUCUUUAAACCAGGCGGGGAUGGAAGAGAAAGACAUCCAAUGAAUAAAGAGUGUGGAAGUGUCGCGUUUCAAAUGUGAAAUGAAAGCACGUUCCACAAAUAAGAGAGGAUGUGAAUUCAGCAUCGGUCUAGUUUAAUUUCCUACAUCAGAUAAGUAACUGAAGCAAUUACAAAGCCAUAUUUUUCUUCACUUAGGACCUUAAAGAAAAGAAGCAGGUUGAGGAGGCAGAAAACGGAAAGGAUGCCCCUGCUAAUGGAAAUGCGGUUAGUUUCCACAACUUUUCUCUUUUCAUUGCCCAGUACUGCUUGUAAUAGUUUCCAAAUGAACUCAGGUGCUACCCAUGAUAACUCAUAAUGUUUUAUAUUUUAGGAAAACGAGGAGAAUGGCGAUCCAGAAAAUGAAGUAGAUGAGGAGGAUGAUGAGGUGGCUGAAGAGGAUGAGGAAGAUGAUGGAGAAGGCAAGGCCUUAAAUAAACAAAUUGAAUGAUGAGAAUGAUUAAAAAAACAUCCUGCUGUAGCUCCACCUAUGUGUUGACAAUCAAGGCAUAUAAACAAAGAUGCAAUGCUAAGAAUGAGUAACUACAUUACAGGUGAUGAUGAUGAUGAUGAAGAUGAUGAUGAGGCUGAGGGUGGCACAGGAAAAAGAGCGGCCGAGGAUGAUGAUGAUGAUGAUGAGGAUGAUGUUGAAACCAAGAAGCAAAAGACUGAUGUGUAAGAAGCUACUCUGCUGGAAAUCUUCUCAUCCCUCCUUUCCUUAACUCGUCCACUGGGGGAGGAAAAACAUGGUCAUCAUCAAGUAGAGUCCAGCAUCCGUGUACACACACCUAACUGCAGAUUUUGUAGAAACAACCAAGACUUCAAAGCUCUACCUUCUUACAAAAUACUUUAAAAGGAAAAAUUUGUUUGUAUUUUUAUUUACAUUUUAUAUUUUUGUACAUAUUGUUAGGAGGUCAGCCAUUUUUGACAGUGAUCUCUGGUUACAAAACGGUGCUUUGAAGUUGAUGCUUCUCUAUGAAAUAGAUUUUACUUGUGGUUUGACCAUGUCAUGUUAUCUCAAAAGAAACUUGUAAAAAACUACGCAAAAAAAGGAAUUAAAAAUUGCAGAAAACCAUGAAAAAAAAAACAUUAAUUCAAAGCAUUCCAGUAACUUUGUGUAUGUACAUCAGUUGUAUCAUACGUAGUUGGAUUGUAUGAGAGGGCAAGGCCAAAAGAAAAGAAUUUUCUUCUUUUCUUUCUUGUCUGUUAAAUUGCUAUCUAUUUGUGGCCUGUUUGAUGUAUGUGUGAAAUUUGUUGUGCGACAAUAAACCGAAAUUUAUUUUGUGAGUUCUUAAAUUUGUUUGUUGUUGUUGUUGUUAUUGUUCUUUUUUUUUCCUUUUAUGACUUCUCAUGAGUUUUUAAUGUUGGAGCUGUAUGGGCAAGAAUAAUUGAACCAGCAUUAUCUUCAGAUGCAGUUCAUGUUUUUCAUCAGCCUGUCAAAAGUAAAUGUACAUCAAUGUAAAUUAUUCAGGCCUUUAAGACUCCAAGAUCUGGUAUAAAUUAUAUUGCGUUAAAUAAAAUUGACUGUGUGGA
This is a long non-coding RNA of Cyprinus carpio carpio, 3931 nucleotides long. NCBI's taxonomy places the organism in Eukaryota, Metazoa, Chordata, Actinopteri, Cypriniformes, Cyprinidae. The record is from Ensembl.